RNAcentral lists this ribosomal RNA (270 nucleotides) under uncultured archaeon. RNAcentral describes it as "partial 16S ribosomal RNA". It matches the Rfam family "Archaeal small subunit ribosomal RNA", at positions 477 to 747 of the family's 1478-position model. The record is from RNAcentral.
CAGCACCUCAAGUGGUCAGGAUGAUUAUUGGGCCUAAAGCAUCCGUAGCCGGCGCUAUAAGUUUUCGGUUAAAUCUGUACGCUCAACGCACAGGCUGCCGGGAAUACUGCAGCGCUAGGGAGUGGGAGAGGUAGACGGUACUCGGUAGGAAGGGGUAAAAUCCUUUGAUCUAUUGAUGACCACCUGUGGCGAAGGCGGUCUACCAGAACACGUCCGACGGUGAGGGAUGAAAGCUGGGGGAGCAAACCGGAUUAGAUACCCGAGUAGUCC